CUGACCUCAAAUCAGGUAGGACUACCCGCUGAACUUAAGCAUAUCAA
RNAcentral lists this ribosomal RNA (47 nucleotides) under Polyporus arcularius. RNAcentral's name for it is "partial 28S ribosomal RNA". Lineage: Eukaryota; Fungi; Basidiomycota; Agaricomycetes; Polyporales; Polyporaceae. RNAcentral also lists the same sequence under 3 other names. The record is from RNAcentral.